This 513-nucleotide ribosomal RNA is filed under the name uncultured bacterium. RNAcentral's name for it is "partial 16S ribosomal RNA". It matches the Rfam family "Bacterial small subunit ribosomal RNA", at positions 28 to 507 of the family's 1533-position model. The record is from RNAcentral.
GACGAACGCUGGCGGCGUGCUUAACACAUGCAAGUCGAACGAGAGCGUAGAGAAAGCUUGCUUUUUCUACAAUCUAGUGGCAAACGGGUGAGUAACGCGUAAACAACCUGCCCUACGGAUGGGGACAACAGCUGGAAACGGCUGCUAAUACCGAAUACGUUCCGAAAGUCGCAUGACUAUCGGAAGAAAGGAUGGCCUCUAUUUUUAAGCUAUCGCCGGAGGAGGGGUUUGCGUCUGAUUAGCUAGUUGGAGGGGUAACGGCCCACCAAGGCGACGAUCAGUAGCCGGUCUGAGAGGAUGAACGGCCACAUUGGAACUGAGACACGGUCCAGACUCCUACGGGAGGCAGCAGUGGGGAAUCUUCCGCAAUGGGCGAAAGCCUGACGGAGCAACGCCGCGUGAGUGAAGACGGCCUUCGGGUUGUAAAGCUCUGUUAUACGGGACGAAUAAUCUUGUGGUUAAUACCCAUGAGAAGUGACGGUACCGUAAGAGAAAGCCACGGCUAACUACGUG